AGAUGCCCGCGUUAGGGAUUGCAGCGGCAUCCUUUUUUGCCAAUAAAAGCAAAAAAGAUAUAGCGUAAAGCCAGACCCGAC
Molecule: small RNA, 81 nt
Rfam family: Flavo-1 RNA
Source: Rfam